This 1403-nucleotide unclassified non-coding RNA is filed under the name Hevea brasiliensis (rubber tree). The record is from RNAcentral. Lineage: Eukaryota; Viridiplantae; Streptophyta; Magnoliopsida; Malpighiales; Euphorbiaceae.
UCCGUAUUCUUUCCGCUUCCGCUGUAAGAACCAAUAGUGUGAGAGAGAAGAAAAUCAUUAAAAUAAGCUAAGAAGGUGGACCACAAGAUGUAGCAAGAAAUAAUAUUACAGUCGGUCAAUGUUUCAUUUUCCCUCUCCUUAUUCUGUCCUGGUAAACAAAAACCAUUCACCUAGGACAGCGACAAAAUAAUUAUACAUGUCUUUAAUCGCCAACCCAUAUUUUCCAUUUCACCAUUGCUGACCUCAUUUAAGCCUCCUGCCAACCAUUGUCAAAAUAACCCCCUUGCCAAUCAAUGUGCCGGGACUUGUCCAGUUCCUCAAGUUCCCACCCAUCCUACAACCUAUAUUUAGAAUCACUAUUAUAAUUGACCUUGCCUGAGCUAUCAUGGUUGUCAGUGCAUAUGCAUCCCAGGUCACUGACCAUCAUCCUCACCUGGUCUUCUCUUGCGCAUAAUCAAUUUGAACCACAUGCUGCUCCACCAUCUACUCUUGAAAACACUCAUUAGCCUAAUUGCUCUUUCUCCCGGCAAAAUCAUGAAAUGUUGAAAUAUAUUGAAGUUCUCAUCAAGUGAAUCAAAUACACAAAGCAAUAAUAUAUGGAAUACAAAACAUCAAAGAAAUAUUGGCUGCAUUCAGAAUAUAGGAAUAUGAAGGGGUAUCAUGCAGGUUACGACUUAGAAAGUUAGGAUACUUCAAACAUUUUGUACAUUACCACCUGCCUAGACAUUCUAGUUCUAUUGCACUGCAAUUCCCAAUAAUAAUAGACACCACAAAGAAAAGAGGUGGAAGAAGAAACUAAAUAAAAGAGAGAACAAAAUCUAUCACGCAGUCAAUCAAUGGACAAUAGACAAUACAGACAGAAAGACAUACAAAUAUGAGAAAGUGGAAUCAAGAAAUUCCUGGACUGGUUUCUGACUACUCAUCUAAUGUCUUGACAAGGAAGGUGAUUUGAUCAGAAAUGACUGAGUUGGUCAUAAUAUCAAGUUUCUUUCAACCCUUAAAAAGUUAGGAUUUUAACCUCCUAUUCCACUAUGAUUGUUCAGCAAAAUAUGUGAUACAGAUUUAGAAGCUUACAAGGGGAAACUGCAUAUUUCAUAUCUGAAAAGUAAAAUCUUACAAAAGAAAAACUAGGCUUUUAGUCAUGAAAAGAGUUAAUAUUAGCAUGAGGCAUGUGCCUUAGUACACAUAAGAAGCAACUAUGAAUUCUUGUCCCUUCUACAUAAUGGAUUAAUGUGUUUUCCCUUGCCUAGCAAAUACAGUAUUUUGUACAGGACACCAAUGAUCAUAUUCAGUAGAAGAAGAACAGUUGGUGAGAACAUGUUAUUAUACAAGAAAGCAAGGGUGGGAAGCUACCUGGAAGAUUUGGUUUGAGAUCAACGGUCAACUGAACUGCAACAAGAGAG